UAAGGACCUGUGAAAAUUUUAUCCUCUAGGAAAGCAAGAAGAAUAGAGGGGGAAAAAAAUCCAGAACCAACUUUUCAAACUCUGGAAAUUAACCGAAGGCUUGCAUCAAUAUGGGGAGCAUUUAAUCAAGAAAAAUGGCUGAAUCUGAGUGAGAAGAAUGACUUCUGUCACCCUCUCUCCAGCUCUGUGGCAUCCAGGAUAACAGUGAAAAACAGCCACCAGACAACCACUGGGGAGGCACAAUGGGGUUGGCGCUCCUUCCAAGUCAUUCUCAAGUUUGUCCUUCCUUAUUUUCCUUGCCUGGUGGUUCACUGGGAGAACCUGCUUGCAGGCUGUUUUUGAUUAUCCUGACUUGGAGCUGAUCCAGCGUGAAAAGCCUCUCUUUGAAAGUAUUUGUGAGAAGCAUUGGGCAUCAUCUACCUCUGAGGUUUCCCGUGAUAGUGGGUAACAGUUGAUGCACCCGCUGGGCUCACCAAAAAGCUUCAAAGGAAAACCUGGAGAAUGGGACAGUCACAGCUUCUGAAGAACUCUUGAGAUAAGCCUGGGAAUCUAGAAAACCACAUGGAUGUGGAGGACCAUGGGAAUGCCCAGGGCUGUGUAUAUGUACAGGAAAAAAAAACUGGUCAAAAAAAAAAAAAGUUUGACCUCUGUCUGUCUUUAAGUCUCUGCACAAACAGGAAGAGAAGACGAAGGUGAGCCGUCAGCUGUUUGGUUGAAAGUCAAAGGCAAACAUCAGAGCUCUUGGGCAAGGACUGGGAAGCUUGUGAGUUCCUGGUAUUUAAGCGAAUCCUUGUGCAAUUGCUGGUUGACCACUAAGAAACCAAGAAAAGACGUGAGUGACUCCACUGAGGUUCAAGAAUCUAAACUUUACACAGUUAGUUCAUGAAAGUCCUGAAGUAAAUAAUAACAGCAACAAGAGUAAACAACAACAAACCCUGUGGAGGAAGAAAAGAUCUGAUACCCAGACGAUACACACGAUAUUACUAAAAAUGUCCAGUUUUCAACAAAAUUUAUGGGCCAUACAAAAAACCAAACCAAAAUCAGGAAACAAAAAUCCCCAAGACCUGUACUCAGGAAAAAAAGUGAUCAAUAUAUUUCUUUCCUAGGGAAAAACUGCUGAUGUUGGAUUUAAUAGAGACUUUAAAUAAGAUAUUUAAAAUCUAUUCAAAGAACUAAAGGAAAGUGGAAGAAUGAUGUCUCACUGUGUAGAAAUUAUUAAAUAAAGACAGAAAUUAUCAAUAAAGGAAACAAAUUAAUAUCAUGGAGUUGAAAAUUAAAACAAAUGAAAAAUUCGUGAGCGAUAAUUUGCCAGGCAUGGUGGCAGAUGCCUGUAAUCCCAGCUACUUGGGAUGCUAAGGCAGGAGGAUCGCAAGUUCAAGUCUAGGCCAGGCAACUUAGUGAGACCCUGUGUCAAAAUAAAAAAUUAAAAGGGCUGUGGAUGUAGCUCAGGGAGAGAGCACCCCUGGAUAGAAUCCCCAGUACCAAAAUAAAUAAAUCAACAAACAAAUAAAUAAAAUAAAAGAAGUAAAUGAAAAAUAAAAUCAGAGAAUACCUCACUGGCAGAACUACCCCACCAAGAUAUUAAAGGGAAUUCCUAAGACUUGUAUGAAAACACACAAGAUAUAGACAGCAUGAGAGUAACUUGAAUCCUCUCGAAGAAAAAAGAAAUAAAGAACACCAAUAAGGGUGGUUUAUGUAAAGGAAAAUAUCAUUGUAGUUUUUGGUCAACAACUGUAUAAAAACAAUUAUAAAUAAGUAUUGAUGGGCAUACGUGUAUACAUCUAUACUGCAUAGGGCAAUAGCAUAGAAAGGAGAGAAAAGACAAUUGAGCUACAUAGAAGACAAUUUUUGUAUACUAUUGAAAUUUUGUAUUAAUCUAAUUUAGAUGAUGAUACAUUAAGAAGUUAAUUAUACUCUCUAGGGAAGUCACUAUGAAAAUAGCUAAAAGUCUAUUCAGUUAUAAAAGGGACAAAGGAAUUAAAAUAGCAGACUAGAAAGCAUUUAUUCAACACUAAAGAAGGUAGAAAGAUGAAAAAAGAGACAUAGAAAACAGCAAAAUGGCAGAUGUAAAUUCUACAUCAUUGUUAUUAUAUAAUUUUAUUAUAUAUAAUUUUAUUUAUAUAAUACAUAUAUAUGAUUUUAUUAUAUAUAAUUGAUUAAAUACUCCAGCGAAAAAGCAG
This 2180-nucleotide long non-coding RNA is filed under the name Marmota monax (woodchuck). The record is from RNAcentral. Lineage: Eukaryota; Metazoa; Chordata; Mammalia; Rodentia; Sciuridae.